CAAGUGGUAGCGCCCUCCCGAAGGUUAGCUACCUACUUCUUUUGCACCCACUCCCAUGGUGAUGACGCUGGCGGCUGUGCCUACACAUGCCCGUGGAACGGUAUUCACCGUGAAGCAGCUUGCUGCUUCGCUGACGAUUGGCGGACGGGUGAGUGAUGUCUGGGAAACUGUCUGAUGGAGUGGGGUUGCAGACUACUGGAAUCCGGUAGCUACUACCGCACUUUAUGAGGUCCGCUUGACUCAUCGAGGGGGUCGCUUCGUGCCUCUUGCUAUGCGCGAUUGUAGCCCAGAUGUGAUUAGCUCGUAGGUGGGGUAAGGGCUCACCUGAUGGCUUGACGUCAUCCCUAGCUGGUCCUCGAGUUUAUGACUGGCAGUCUCACUGGAAUUGAGUUCCCGGUCCGGACUCGCUGGAACGAAAGGAUAUGGGUUGCAGCUCGUUGCGGGACUUAACCCAAUAUUUCACAAUGGGCGCGAGCCUGAUGACAGCCAUGCAGGAACGUGUCUGCAGAAGUUCCUUCGAGGUUGUACCAAUGCUAUCUCUUCAAAGGUGCGGGAUGUGAAGGCGAGUAAGGUUAAUAACCUUGUCGAUUGACGUUACCCUCAGAAUUAAGCACCGUCUUGAACUCAUAGAUGUAUGCCGUGGCGGUAGUAAAGUCGUGUUGUUAUUUUUUUAUAAUUGGAUUGUUAAGCAUUGAAAGACUAAACUUGCUGAGGGCAGACCAACUGUGGGCUGGUCAUUAGAGUCUAUGGAGAGUAUAAUGCAGUAUUUACGUUUGUUCCAGUUGUAACUACCCAAAGGCUUCACGUCUUGAUUAUUUCGUCUUGUCUUGUUGUAUUGCGUGUAUGUAUCGUGCGUGAGCUCUGCUAUAGUGUCUCACGCGUUCUUGACUGUCGAUUAUUCAUUACAAUUGACACUGAUGUCUGUAGUGCGUCUGCAUGUAGUGUCUAGUAACGACGAGUCUCUUUUUCUAUGCUGAAGAUGCAUCGUAGUUAUUAGUAGUAUGAUUGUAUGUCGCUGUGAGUGAUGCUUGUGUUGUCGAUUAUACUCAUGAUGAUGACGUGGAUGAGUGGGGACGUUCGUCGUCUAUCGAUCGAUGCAUCGGCAUCACUGGUGAAGUAACGUUCUUUGAUGUAGUACUGCGUCGAGU
This 1148-nucleotide ribosomal RNA is filed under the name Enterobacter sp. PSB27. RNAcentral describes it as "partial 16S ribosomal RNA". Lineage: Bacteria; Pseudomonadati; Pseudomonadota; Gammaproteobacteria; Enterobacterales; Enterobacteriaceae. The record is from RNAcentral.